Ricinus communis (castor bean) is the source of this 2572-nucleotide RNA transcript. RefSeq lists it as uncharacterized. The record is from RefSeq and is a predicted model, not a curated record. Lineage: Eukaryota; Viridiplantae; Streptophyta; Magnoliopsida; Malpighiales; Euphorbiaceae. The transcript is spliced from 2 exons.
GGUUAGUUUACUUGUCAUUUUUUGCGUUAUGAUAUCUUAUCAUUACCAAGUACAUUUACUAAGUUUAUGUGUUACCGAGUCUUUUUCACAAUCACCAAAACUCAAAUAUAUUAAAAUAGUAAAAAGAAGCGAUAUAUGUGGCCUUUUCUCUACCGUCCUGGGGUUUCUCUAGGUUUCCUAUUUGACCUAGGAUUGAGUAGAAGUUGUUUCCUCAAGGUUGUCUUGAGUUCUUCCGCACUCGUAUGGCGUUGGUUGUUCCUUUGUGGUUCUUCUUUUCUGUCUUUUUCUUUCUCAUCUCGUCUUUUUUGUUCUUUUUUUUUUCCUCUCUCUUUUGUUAUGGAUGCAGAGGCCUUGGCUAAGAUUUGUGCCAAACUAAACUUGAAAGAAGAUGAUAAUAAUCCAGCCUUGUCUUUUGAUCCCUCGAUUCAUCAAAAUGCGAGAAAAAUGAGUUUUUUGAGCUCAGCUUGCAAGGUACUUUCUAAUCGCUUAGUGAAUAGGGAGGGGUUUAAAUCUGUUCUUCUUAAUAUGCUUCGGGUUAUCCAUGGAUUUGAAAUGGAAGCCGCAGGGAAUAAUAUUUUUGUUUUGCACUUCAAAUCUAGUGAAGAAAGGCAUAAAAUUAUGGUGGAUGGCCUAUGGAGUUCUGAUAAGUGUUUGAUUGUGUUCUCCAUAAUUUCAGAAACCCAACAUCUUGGAGAUGUAUUGUUUGAUAAAGUCAAUUUCUGGGUACAAAUUCAUAAUGUAUCAGUUGCAUAUAUAUCAAUUGACGUUGCUAAGAAAUUGGGAAAUGAGAUUGGUCAAGUGGUGGAUAUUGAUGGUGGCACUACUGGAAGUAGUAUUGGCCGUUAUCUUAGAGUGUGUGUCAUUGAUAUGGGUAAUAAAGAACCUAAAAGAGUUGUUGUCAUUACUUAUGAGUGUUUACUCGAUAUAUGCUAUGCGUGUGAUAUGCUAGGUCACGUUUAUAGAGAGUGUAGUUUAAAGAAUAAAAUUGCUUUAGAUGAGAGCUCCUUUGGCCCAUGGAUGAAGGCUGUCAUGGGUAGUUCUUUUAUUGAUAGCAAGAAAGGAAUGAGACAGGUUAAUGAUGGCCAAUUACAUGCUCAAUUUUCCCCUAUUGCUAAUGUUAAUACUCAGCCUAAUGAUGACAAUAGUGAAGUUAGUCAUCAAAAUUGUCCCAAUAAUUAGGAGGCGAGGAUGCAUGUGACAGUGGUUGAUCAAGUUCACGUCCUUAUAAUGCAUGGUAACGUGAUUGAUUCUUCUAAUGGCCAAAUUAAUAAUUCCUUGUUAUAUGGUACUGUGCGCGGAGUUAAUCAUGGCAAAGUGAGCCAUUUUGAUGGUAGAAAAAAUUCUAAAUAUAAAGAUGGGUGAUUUUGACAAAGAUUCUUAGAUGAUGGAUGGCAUGCAUGUGACUUUGAAUGACCAUAAUAUUAACUCCCCUAUGCCAAAUAUUAUUUUUUAGAGUACUUUGCAUGUUCAGGUGGACCCCAAUGGCAAUGACCCAAGUAAUGUUUCUAAUUCUAUUAUUAUUGUUCCUAAUGCUAAUGAUAUUUGUGUCAGUGCACCUAUAUUUCCAAUGGGACUGUUUGCUAGAACGAGUGGACCUAAUUCACCGAAAGCUAAGUGAAGAGUUGUGAAGAAAAUGAAAAGUCCUAACUCUCCUAAAUUGAAGAGUACCACUAAAGGACAAACUGCUGAGAAAAAUCAAAAUGGUACUCGGAAAAGGCGGGGAACCUCCUAAACCUAGAGAGGAAAAUGCAACUCCAGUGGGGAAGUCAUUAAAAAUUCUUGUAAGUGCUAUUGAUGAGGGUUCAAACUCAAUGGGCCUUAGUGGAGGAUUAUAUAGGUUUCUGCUUGAGAGGCCUUAUGUUUGGUAAAGGAUGAACUGGAUCAACAACAAUAUGCGUCAUUUUCAAUUUGUUGUUGGAUGGCUUGGUCUAGAAGAAAUGGCAUAAUUCAUGGUGGAUAUGAGUCGGAGGCAGCCUUGGUAUAUGGAUGGCAGAAGCUUUUCUUUAGGAUUUUAAUGCUGCUCUGUAGAGUUCUCUUUUACAGGCGUCAGAGAUGAAUAGGAUGCCUCAACUGGCUUUCUAGCAACUGCGUAGUGGGUUAUUUAAACUGAAUGUUAAUGCCUCUUGGAUGGAAGCAACAAAUCAAAGUGGACUGGAUGCAAUUGUCAGAAACCAUGAUGGGCUCUGUAUGGUAGCUAGUACUAUGAGUAAGUCUCCCAUUCCCUCUGCUCUUCUUGGCGAGUUGUUGAUUGUCUGAAAAGAUAUUGCGCUUUGCUCUCGAUUGUGGUUUCAAUGAUAUCCAGUUGGAGUCGGACUGCCUAGAAAUUGUUAAUAUGAUUAAUAAGGAUUAUGUUGUCUUUUCUAAGUUUAGUCUAGUUCUUAAGGACAUUUAAAGACUUGCCUCUUUAUUUUCUACGUCUGGUUUAAUUUUGUUAGUUGGACUUGCAACUCAAUUAUUCAUAAUUUAGCUAGUUUUGAAAUCGGUCUAGACUCUAAUCGGAUUUGGCUUGCCCUUUGUGGAUUCUUACACCUUCUGUUGGUAAAUAAGCCGUGAUUAUAUUGCUUGUUUGUGA